Molecule: ribosomal RNA, 616 nt
Filed under: uncultured bacterium
Lineage: Bacteria
Description: bacterial SSU rRNA
Rfam family: Bacterial small subunit ribosomal RNA
Source: RNAcentral
CCUACGGGAGGCAGCAGUGGGGAAUAUUGGACAAUGGGCGCAAGCCUGAUCCAGCCAUGCCGCGUGUGUGAAGAAGGCCUUCGGGUUGUAAAGCACUUUUAUCCGGAAAGAAAAGCUUUGGGUUAAUACCCUGAAGUCAUGACGGUACCGGAAGAAUAAGCACCGGCUAACUUCGUGCCAGCAGCCGCGGUAAUACGAAGGGUGCAAGCGUUACUCGGAAUUACUGGGCGUAAAGCGUGCGUAGGUGGUUUGUUAAGUCUGAUGUGAAAGCCCUAGGCUCAACCUGGGAAUUGCAUUGGAUACUGGCAGGCUAGAGUGCGGUAGAGGAUAGUGGAAUUCCCGGUGUAGCAGUGAAAUGCGUAGAGAUCGGGAGGAACAUCUGUGGCGAAGGCGACUAUCUGGGCCAGCACUGACACUGAGGCACGAAAGCGUGGGGAGCAAACAGGGUUAGAUACCCUGGUAGUCCACGCCCUAAACGAUGCGAACUGGAUGUUGGGUGCAACUAGGCACUCAGUAUCGAAGCUAACGCGUUAAGUUCGCCGCCUGGGGAGUACGGUCGCAAGCUGAAACUCAAAGAGUAGUGCGNGNGAGNGCGACGACGACGACGAGGAGGAGG